This 255-nucleotide ribosomal RNA is filed under the name uncultured bacterium. Its description in RNAcentral is "partial 16S ribosomal RNA". It matches the Rfam family "Bacterial small subunit ribosomal RNA", at positions 129 to 385 of the family's 1533-position model. The record is from RNAcentral.
CGUGGUGGUGGGGGAUAACGUUCGGGAACGGACGGUAAUACCGCAUGCGUCCUACGGGAGAAAGCAGGGGGCCUUCGGGCCUUGCGCUAUCAGAUGAGCCUAGGUCGGAUUAGCUAGUGGGUGAGGUGAUGGCUCACCAAGGCGACGAGCCGUAACUGGUCUGAGAGAAUGGUCAGUCACAUUUUAAGGGAGACACGGUCCACCCCUCCUGCGGGAGGCAGCAGUGGGGAAGAUUGGACAAUGGGCGAAAGCCUG